AAAAAUUUAUUUGCUAUAGAUAGGGGGUUCAUAGUAGAAAGAAGGCUAUUCAAGAAUUUAAAAUCAUGCAUUCCUGGACGUUCUUGGUAUUUCUUGGUAUGGCGGGAUUACCGUUCCAUUCCGUGCACGCACAUAGUUUGUUAUACACGUACACAUGUUAUCCAAACAACACGAUUACGAUUUCCGGUAUGCCGACAAAUUACUCAUCCAUGUAUUACUUUGCGAUGCAUGAAGCGGAUGGCAAGAAUUGCUCGGUGACUGCUAUUCUGGCUGCUGGCACAGCGGAAAUUACUGAAUGCGAUAAAGAUCAGUCGAUUCUCUUUACGUUUAGCCCCUACAUCGACAUGGCGAGCAAUCAAAUCCAUGCUGGAGAGGAUGUCGAGAUUGUAAACAUCACAUGUUUUGAGAUUCCUGAUUCCGUGCCGCACUCAGUUUCCAACACAUUGGCAGCCUCCAUCGCUUUGGGGGAAGAGGCUACAAUGAAUGUUUCCUUUGACGUCACAUCUGUUUUGAAUCCGACGUCUGCUAAUGUUGGCGAUCCGGUUACGUGGACAAUUAUCUUCCCGAUGAACUACACACUUCAAAUAACGUCAUGCACGCUUACCCAGGAACCACAUCAUCGUCAUCAAACUCAGUCGGGUUAAUCACCACCUGGUGCUCCGAUGACAGUGACCUCAUCUCCAAUUUCACCACAAAUGCCAACGAUAGCGAGGCAACGGCAAUAAUCCAGGCCUUUAGAUUCUUCGAUUACAACAACGUAUAUCUUUCUUGUGAUCUUCUAAUUUGUCCUUUGCCAAGCAGCAGUUGUACACCAUCAUGCAGUAGUGCUAAACGUAAAAGGAGAAAUACAAGUGGUAACCAAGGCGAAUACAGGAAAAGUGUGGGCAAGGUGUUGCAUAUCAUUGACCCAACGUCUGUUGCUUCUACGCCAUACUCUGGUUUACUCCUGUCGUUUUUACUGACGUAUCUAGUGUCGUUGCUUACAUUUACAUAUGCGUCGGGAACAGAUUGGCAGUGGAACAAUAAAUAGACACUGUAAACUGAAAUAAACAUUGUUGAUAUUUUAUUGAUCUGUUUAUAGCAGAUCAAAGAAAGGAGUAGUGUGUGCUAACUUCCUAAGGUGUUCUUGUUGAUGGAAUGACGAACAUAGCCGUUUUUAUCUGGAAUGUAAGUCUAUUGACUAUGUCUUAUAUAUAACCUUGUUAUCUGUUAUUUGUUGAUGAAUACAAAAUAAAAUGUUAUGUAUAUAUUAA
Long non-coding RNA from Mercenaria mercenaria, 1253 nucleotides. RefSeq lists it as uncharacterized. NCBI's taxonomy places the organism in Eukaryota, Metazoa, Mollusca, Bivalvia, Venerida, Veneridae. The record is from RefSeq and is a predicted model, not a curated record. The transcript has 9 exons.